GUGUCAGCAGCCGCGGUAAUACGUAGGUGGCAAGCGUUGUCCGGAUUUACUGGGCGUAAAGGGCGUGCAGGCGGUUUGUUAAGUGCAGGGUGAAAGCUCCCGGCUCAACUGGGAGAGGUCCUUGCAUACUGGCGAACUCGAGGGAGGCAGAGGAAAGUGGAAUUCCCGGUGUAGUGGUGAUAUGCGUAGAUAUCGGGAGGAACACCUGUGGCGAAGGCGGCUUUCUGGGCCUUACCUGACGCUGAGACGCGAAAGCGUGGGGAGCGAACCGGAUUAGAUACCCGGGUAGUCCACGCCGUAAACUAUGGACACUAGGUGUGGGGGGUAUCGACCCCCUCCGUGCCGAAGCUAACGCAAUAAGUGUCCCGCCUGGGGAGUACGGCCGCAAGGCUAAA
RNAcentral lists this ribosomal RNA (395 nucleotides) under uncultured bacterium. RNAcentral describes it as "bacterial SSU rRNA". It matches the Rfam family "Bacterial small subunit ribosomal RNA", at positions 505 to 898 of the family's 1533-position model. The record is from RNAcentral.